CCUGAAAAAAUAGGAGGUCCAGCCUGCCCAGUGACCAAGUUAAACGGCCGCGGUACCCUAACCGUGCGAAGGUAGCGCAAUCACUUGUUCUUUAAAUGAGGACUAGUAUGAAUGGCAUCACGAGGGUCUCACUGUCUCCCCCCUCUAAUCAGUGAAACUGAUCUCCCCGUGAAGAAGCGGGGAUAAAUAUAUAAGACGAGAAGACCCCAUGGAGCUUUAAACUCAAUUUCAACUACCAUAAAUAAAUCAUAAAAAAUAGGUAGCCAUGACUAUUAGUUUUCGGUUGGGGUGACCACGGAGCAAAACACAACCUCCACGACGAAUGACUCUCUACCUCUAAUCAUAGAGUGACGACUCAAAGAAUCAACAAAUUGACCCAUUUGACCCAAAUUUUUGAUCAACGAAC
This 406-nucleotide ribosomal RNA is filed under the name Hamptophryne boliviana group sp. ABGD cluster 6. RNAcentral's name for it is "partial large subunit ribosomal RNA". It matches the Rfam family "Bacterial large subunit ribosomal RNA", at positions 1836 to 2457 of the family's 2925-position model. The record is from RNAcentral. Lineage: Eukaryota; Metazoa; Chordata; Amphibia; Anura; Microhylidae.